AAAGCAUUAUUUCCUUGGAGUAGGACAGAAGAACUGGUUUCUUUUGUAUACAAAAGAGUCCCUGGGAAAACUGAAGAAGGUUGUGUUGAACAUCAGUGGAGGACCAGGAGCUCAAUGGAAUGUGUUGGACAUAACAGUAUAUGAUACAGUAUCUGGCUGUGAAUCCCACUUCAGCAGCAAUGGAUGCC
This 188-nucleotide long non-coding RNA is filed under the name Lingula anatina. RNAcentral's name for it is "uncharacterized LOC106163333". Lineage: Eukaryota; Metazoa; Brachiopoda; Lingulata; Lingulida; Lingulidae. The record is from RNAcentral.